UAAUCAUUUUUUGGAUUUGAUUAUUUCCUUUUUUUCGCGCAUCCCGACUUUGGACUUAGUUAAGUUAAUAAUCAUUGGAGGAAGCCAGAUCUGAUUUAGGGUUGUGUCCAUUUUUUAAUUUGCCUUUCCCAUAAGUUGAGAAAAAGGUAAAAACAGUGUAUUAGGGAUGUUGUAAUAAAUAAUUUAUUAUUUUCCGUGACCUU
Long non-coding RNA from Melitaea cinxia (Glanville fritillary), 203 nucleotides. RefSeq lists it as uncharacterized. Lineage: Eukaryota; Metazoa; Arthropoda; Insecta; Lepidoptera; Nymphalidae. The record is from RefSeq and is a predicted model, not a curated record. The transcript has 2 exons.